GUAAACAGCAAAAAUGAUCAGCAAAGUAAGAUCUACAAAUAGGUUAAUAUGACCAAAAUUGUCAAUUGACCCCUUAAGGGGUAAAUGUCCUUUAAUGACAAUUUUUCACAAUUUGUUCAUCAUAUUUGCUAACUUUAAAAAAUCUUCUCCUCUGAAACUACUGAAUGGAUUUGGAUGAAACUUAGCAUGAUAGUUCCUUAGAUUAUCCUGCACAAAGUGUGUGCUUCGAUUUUUGAUCCGUCAAAAAAACAUGGCCGCCCUUACUUUGAAUAGAACAUAGGGGUCAAAUGCAGUUUUUGGCUUAUAUCUCAAAAACGAAAGCAUUUAGAGCAAAUCUGACAUGGGGUAAAAUGUUCAUUAGGUCAAGAUCUAUCAGCCC
Molecule: long non-coding RNA, 379 nt
Filed under: Mytilus galloprovincialis (Mediterranean mussel)
Lineage: Eukaryota; Metazoa; Mollusca; Bivalvia; Mytilida; Mytilidae
Source: RNAcentral